This 492-nucleotide ribosomal RNA is filed under the name uncultured bacterium. RNAcentral describes it as "partial 16S ribosomal RNA". It matches the Rfam family "Bacterial small subunit ribosomal RNA", at positions 28 to 507 of the family's 1533-position model. The record is from RNAcentral.
GACGAACGCUGGCGGCGUGCUUAACACAUGCAAGUGGAGCGACGAACCAGGGCUUGCCCUGGGGCAGAGCCGCGAACGGGUGAGUAACACGUGGGUAACGUGCCCCGAUGACUGGGACAACCCGGGGAAACCCGGGCUAAUACCGGAUGUGCCCCCUCACAUCAGUGAGGUGUGUAAAGGAAGCUUCGGCCUCCGCAUCGGGAUCGGCCCGCGGCCCAUUAGCUUGUUGGUGAGGUAACGGCUCACCAAGGCUGCGAUGGGUAGCUGGUCUGAGAGGACGAUCAGCCACACUGGGGCUGAGACACGGCCCAGACUCCUACGGGAGGCAGCAGUGGGGAAUCUUGCGCAAUGCGCGAAAGCGUGACGCAGCAACGCCGCGUGGGGGAAGACGGCCUUCGGGUUGUAAACCCCUUUCAGUUGGGACGAAGGUCGGGCGGUUAACAGCCGUUCCGGCUGACGGUACCUUCACAAGAAGCCCCGGCUAACUACGUG